GAUCGAUACAAAACUUAGACUCCUGCACAUCUUCAGCUAAGAUCUCUGACUCGUAUUUCUUGGUGUCAUUCGCCAGCAAUGGCUUUUUGGAAUGAGAAGAAGAAAUGGCACCAGCACAAGAAGAGGCAAGAGAAGAAGAAGAUGGCAGCAUUGCCGCUGUUGAAAAUGCAAGAUUUGGGUUCUUGGGUCGAACAAGAGCUGACAACAAAAGAAUAAGAGAAGCCAUAGAAGAAAUGCAAGAUUGAAGAAUUUUGGAAUGAUGAAAUGAAAUGGUGAAGAGCAUUUUAUAAUGUUAAUACAUAGGGAUUAUCGAA
RNAcentral lists this unclassified non-coding RNA (314 nucleotides) under Hevea brasiliensis (rubber tree). The record is from RNAcentral. Lineage: Eukaryota; Viridiplantae; Streptophyta; Magnoliopsida; Malpighiales; Euphorbiaceae.